UGGAUAUGCAGAGAAAAUAGGAUAGGAUGUUUCAUGCUUUGCUAUUGGGAAGAAAGGUGAAUUUAUUCUUGAUUAAGUUUGUUCUGAAAGGAGCUUCAACCAACCUCAGCCAGGAAGACCCCUCACAAAUGUCCUGUAUUUGAAAAAGAUCUGCUGAUUUUGAGAUUACUGAGAAUGAAGUUGCAAGGGAAAACUAAGGAACGACUUACAGAGGUUGAUCCCUUUGAACUGCUGAAACCUGAUGGCUCGCAAUCAAUAGUCUGUAAAAACAAUAAGAUCAACAGUGGAAAGAUUCAGAUUUUCUGCCUAUAAAUUAAGAUUGCUGGGCCACUGUGAUGAGUCUGACUUAAACUUAUUGCUUGAUAGAGGAGCAGGGUGAGAGGAAAGAGACUAAAAAUACCUGGAGACAAUGUGGAGCUGUUAGUACAGUAUUGAUCCACUUCAUAUAGAUAGCUGAGGGAAAUAUGGAUGUGUAAACUUAUAAUAGAUAUGACUGACAGAUGUCAUUUUCUGCUUAAAUGCUAAAUCACUGAUAGACCCUGUGACUAGAAUUCUAAGACCCAUAUAUGCUAUAUUGAAACUUUGCAAUAUGAUCAGGAAUACUUGCCUGGUCAUAAGAUCAGUUUUUCCAAUGAAGGUGAAACAGAAGUCUAGUUUUUGGUUUUCUGUUUUUAAUUUUUUUUUUUUUCUUGGG
This is a long non-coding RNA of Pezoporus occidentalis (night parrot), 694 nucleotides long. RefSeq lists it as uncharacterized. Lineage: Eukaryota; Metazoa; Chordata; Aves; Psittaciformes; Psittacidae. The record is from RefSeq and is a predicted model, not a curated record. The transcript has 3 exons.